RNAcentral lists this ribosomal RNA (1206 nucleotides) under Escherichia coli. RNAcentral's name for it is "partial 23S ribosomal RNA". It matches the Rfam family "Bacterial large subunit ribosomal RNA", at positions 1591 to 2778 of the family's 2925-position model. Lineage: Bacteria; Pseudomonadati; Pseudomonadota; Gammaproteobacteria; Enterobacterales; Enterobacteriaceae. The record is from RNAcentral.
CAACAAAUGCCCUGCUUCCAGGAAAAGCCUCUAAGCAUCAGGUAACAUCAAAUCGUACCCCAAACCGACACAGGUGGUCAGGUAGAGAAUACCAAGGCGCUUGAGAGAACUCGGGUGAAGGAACUAGGCAAAAUGGUGCCGUAACUUCGGGAGAAGGCACGCUGAUAUGUAGGUGAAGUCCCUCGCGGAUGGAGCUGAAAUCAGUCGAAGAUACCAGCUGGCUGCAACUGUUUAUUAAAAACACAGCACUGUGCAAACACGAAAGUGGACGUAUACGGUGUGACGCCUGCCCGGUGCCGGAAGGUUAAUUGAUGGGGUCAGCGCAAGCGAAGCUCUUGAUCGAAGCCCCGGUAAACGGCGGCCGUAACUAUAACGGUCCUAAGGUAGCGAAAUUCCUUGUCGGGUAAGUUCCGACCUGCACGAAUGGCGUAAUGAUGGCCAGGCUGUCUCCACCCGAGACUCAGUGAAAUUGAACUCGCUGUGAAGAUGCAGUGUACCCGCGGCAAGACGGAAAGACCCCGUGAACCUUUACUAUAGCUUGACACUGAACAUUGAGCCUUGAUGUGUAGGAUAGGUGGGAGGCUUGGAAGUGUAGACGCCAGUCUGCAUGGAGCCGACCUUGAAAUACCACCCUUUAAUGUUUGAUGUUCUAACGUUGACCCGUAAUCCGGGUUGCGGACAGUGUCUGGUGGGUAGUUUGACUGGGGCGGUCUCCUCCUAAAGAGUAACGGAGGAGCACGAAGGUUGGCUAAUCCUGGUCGGACAUCAGGAGGUUAGUGCAAUGGCAUAAGCCAGCUUGACUGCGAGCGUGACGGCGCGAGCAGGUGCGAAAGCAGGUCAUAGUGAUCCGGUGGUUCUGAAUGGAAGGGCCAUCGCUCAACGGAUAAAAGGUACUCCGGGGAUAACAGGCUGAUACCGCCCAAGAGUUCAUAUCGACGGCGGUGUUUGGCACCUCGAUGUCGGCUCAUCACAUCCUGGGGCUGAAGUAGGUCCCAAGGGUAUGGCUGUUCGCCAUUUAAAGUGGUACGCGAGCUGGGUUUAGAACGUCGUGAGACAGUUCGGUCCCUAUCUGCCGUGGGCGCUGGAGAACUGAGGGGGGCUGCUCCUAGUACGAGAGGACCGGAGUGGACGCAUCACUGGUGUUCGGGUUGUCAUGCCAAUGGCACUGCCCGGUAGCUAAAUGCGGAAGAGAUAAGUGCUGAAAGC